Molecule: long non-coding RNA, 1642 nt
Organism: Olea europaea var. sylvestris
Lineage: Eukaryota; Viridiplantae; Streptophyta; Magnoliopsida; Lamiales; Oleaceae
Exons: 3
Source: RefSeq, a predicted model, not a curated record
AUUUAAUUUACCUUCUAAAGUCUAAAAGAUAUUGAUUUCAUGUAUCAUUGGUUCCUACGCUACUUAGAAAAUAAGGUGAAAAAUCGAACUCAUAUUAAGGCAUACUAAGUGUAGAAGACGUCAACUUUUUGCUCUUUGUAUUUUGAUCAAAAUAUUCAACGAGAUUGAGUCAUGCAUUGAGGAAUGAUGAUGGAGGUCUUAUUGAUCUCCAAGGGAGACUAUCGAUUUUUACCUAUCCUAGACUACCCUUUGGCAUUCAAUGUCUUAAUAGCAAAUUAAUGAUAAAUGAGGAAUUCAGAGCAUCUUCAAUAAGUGUGCUUUUGAAUUGGAGAAAGUAACCCCUUUUAGGGUGUAAGUUGUUAUAAUUACAUUUCCAAUAUAUAUUGAACUAUAUGCUUAGUUAGCAACAUUUACAAUUUCUCAUAGCACAUGUAGGGAGCUUGAUAAACAUAUGAGAAUGUUGUUUGCCCAAAUGUCUGACGCACAAUUUGAUUAUUUACAGAAAGAAUAUUUUCAUGUUGGUUGAGGGAAUACGUAUGUGAUUUUGUCUCAAUUACCCCCAAAAAGUAUUUUGAAAAAUGAGUUUAAUACAUAUUAUUUCUUUUGUUUAGGUUUUGGAAAAUCAUAAUAAAGUUUAUAAUUGCAUAAAGGAUUUGGCUAUAGGACCCUCUCAUAGACUGAAUUGGUAUAAUGAAUAUUUUGUCAAUAGUUUUAAGUUUCACACUUUAGAUUAUGAGUCCCACAAAACAACAAUGAAUAGUGGUAUGUUAGUGCUAGGAAGUCAUUAUAAUGAGUAUGAACGUGACUACUAUGGUAAGUUAUCUGAAAUACUAGGAGUUUGGUUAUUUAGGAGACAUUGAAAAAAAAAAGGUAACCUUAUUCAAGUGUGAUUGGUUUGACAUCAAUGGUGGAUUUAGAAUCCAUCGACGAUUCGGUCUUGUCCAACUUAAUCAUAAGAAGAAAUUACAAACAAAUGUUGUGCUUAUACUUUCUCAACAAGUAUAUUCACAUAUUUUCCAACGAAGGAUAGAGAUAGACUUAAUAUGUUGGGGGUUGUGAAAACAAAAGCAAGAAAUGUUCCUAACAUACUAGGAAUCAUAUCGAAGAAUGAAAAGUGUAAUGUAUGGGUGAAACUUGCAUUCCAAGAUGAUCAACCACCACUUACCCAGCAACCUGUUCGAAUAACUUCAAAGUUCAAUUUCCAAAUUUAGUUUCUACUAAUGUUGGGGAUGAAUCUAAGAUGUUCAAUAUAGAUCCAAAAGGUUUAAUGUAGAAGAAAAUACAGAGCCAGACGAUGUUGACAGUGGUGAUGGCUUCACAACAAGUAUUCAUUACUCCCUCGAUAUCGUGUACUGUAAGUGCCAAUUUGAAGGCUUACUUGGGCGGACAUUAUCCUAUGUUUAGUUUGGUACCAGCUGACACAAAAAAGUUCUUGUGGGAAAGAUUUUAGACAAGCCACUUGCUGCUUCACAAUUGUUCGAACGUGUACACUAUCAAGAGAAGGGAGAAGGAGACUUUGCACACAACAAAUCACGGAUUGUAUGUGUAACGACCCAAAUAUUUUUGUUUUUUUUUAUUCUAUUUUAUUUGAGUUUAGAUCGCAACCAAAAUUUUCUUAUUAAAGGAAAGGAAUUUAAAACCG